UACUAAGUGAUAGGAGAGCGAUCUAUUUGCGUCGCAGGUAUACCGGUAAGGAGUGCUGUCGCGACUAGAAGUGAGCAUGCAGGCAUGAGUAGCGAUAAUUAAUGUGAGAAUCAUUAACGCCGUAAACACAAGGUUUCUUACGCGAUGCUGGUCAUGGUAGGGUAAGUCGGCUCCUACGUCGCGUCCGAAGCGGGGAGACGUUGGUACAUUGGGUAAGAUUCCAAUACCAACAUUAGUGUGCGAUGGAAGGACGCUUAGGGCUAAGGGGGCUAGCGGAUGGAAGUGCUAGUCUAAGGCCGUAGGAGGUUAUACAGGCAAAUCCGUAUAACAAUACUACGAGAACUGAAAGGCUUUUUGAAGUCUUCGGAUGGAUAGAAGAACCCCUGAUGCCGUCGAGCCAAGAAAAGUUUCUAAGUUUAGCUAAUGUUGCCCGUACCGUAAACCGACACAGGUGGGUGGGAUGAGUAUUCUAAGGCGCGUGGAAGAACUCUCUUUAAGGAACUCUGCAAAAUAGCACCGUAUCUUCGGUAUAAGGUGUGGUUAGCUUUGUAUUAGGAUUUACUCCGAAAGCAAGGAAACUUACAACAAAGAGUCCCUC
RNAcentral lists this ribosomal RNA (598 nucleotides) under Campylobacter jejuni. RNAcentral describes it as "bacterial LSU rRNA". It matches the Rfam family "Bacterial large subunit ribosomal RNA", at positions 1219 to 1795 of the family's 2925-position model. The record is from RNAcentral. Lineage: Bacteria; Pseudomonadati; Campylobacterota; Epsilonproteobacteria; Campylobacterales; Campylobacteraceae.